This is a long non-coding RNA of Octopus sinensis (East Asian common octopus), 95 nucleotides long. RefSeq lists it as uncharacterized. Lineage: Eukaryota; Metazoa; Mollusca; Cephalopoda; Octopoda; Octopodidae. The transcript is spliced from 4 exons. The record is from RefSeq and is a predicted model, not a curated record.
ACAGUGGUAGACUAACUAUUAUACUAAUAGCUGACUAGAUAAUGAUAAUCUACAUGGAGCUCUAACUCAUACAAUACCAGUUGUACACUUAAAUG